UGUAUUCGCUGCUUCAUAACGGUCACCAUACCACCCGCUGCCGCAAUUAGUUCCGGCUUUAGCGUUCUCAAUCAACGAUCAGCCGUGGCUCGAGCCGUCGUCAUCGUCGCACCCUACCCUUGUACUGCUCGUCAUCGCUACCUUGCCGCCACCGCUGCCAUUGAGGUUGCGUUCGACUUUUCUUUUUUGCUUCGAUGUGACCCAGCCCAGAAUUGGCCGGCCCUUGCCAUGCAUGUUAAAGCACCCCCAUUAGAUUUGCUCUGCGCUUUUCGAUUUGUUGAGGUUCUAUUAUGUAAUGAUUGUUGACGCAUGCUACACAUAGGAUGGACUCGGGCCUUAGUGACUUUAAAACUUGAAAGAUAAUUUCUUAUAUUUAUUUGAUUUAUAUCAAAACGAUGUAACACAUUAAUUCAAUAAAACAAAACUUUAAAUACCAUGUGUCGUGAAACAAUUUCCUGUAACAUGAAUCCCGAUGUUUCUACCGCGAUUUGUUGUAUUACGCGAUUGGGGUGUUACAUAAUUUGCAGAAGUUUUAUGAUUCAGUUAAAGACAACUACAAGGACAUUAACCUUA
This 573-nucleotide long non-coding RNA is filed under the name Helianthus annuus (common sunflower). The record is from RNAcentral. Lineage: Eukaryota; Viridiplantae; Streptophyta; Magnoliopsida; Asterales; Asteraceae.